This 497-nucleotide ribosomal RNA is filed under the name uncultured bacterium. Its description in RNAcentral is "partial 16S ribosomal RNA". It matches the Rfam family "Bacterial small subunit ribosomal RNA", at positions 28 to 507 of the family's 1533-position model. The record is from RNAcentral.
GAUGAACGCUGGCGGCGUGCCUAAUACAUGCAAGUCGAGCGAACGGACGAGAAGCUUGCUUCUCUGAUGUUAGCGGCGGACGGGUGAGUAACACGUGGAUAACCUACCUAUAAGACUGGGAUAACUUCGGGAAACCGGAGCUAAUACCGGAUGAUAUUUUGAACCGCAUGGUUCAAAAGUGAAAGACGGUCUUGCUGUCACCUAUAGAUGGAUCCGCGCUGCAUUAGCUAGUUGGUAAGGUAACGGCUUACCAAGGCAACGAUGCAUAGCCGACCUGAGAGGGUGAUCGGCCACCCUGGAACUGAGACACGGUCCAGACUCCUACGGGAGGCAGCAGUAGGGAAUCUUCCGCAAUGGGCGAAAGCCUGACGGAGCAACGCCGCGUGAGUGAUGAAGGUCUUCGGAUCGUAAAACUCUGUUAUUAGGGAAGAACAUAUGUGUAAGUACCUGUACACAUCUUGACGGUACCUAAUCAGAAAGCCACGGCUAACUACGUG